GCCAGUUUGGUCUAGUGGAUAAGGCACUGGGCUAGAAACCAGGAGACUGUGAGUUCUAGUCCUACUUUUGGCA
This 73-nucleotide transfer RNA is filed under the name Ophiophagus hannah (king cobra). It matches the Rfam family "tRNA". From Rfam's summary of the family: Transfer RNA (tRNA) molecules are approximately 80 nucleotides in length. Their secondary structure includes four short double-helical elements and three loops (D, anti-codon, and T loops). The record is from Rfam by way of RNAcentral. Lineage: Eukaryota; Metazoa; Chordata; Lepidosauria; Squamata; Elapidae.